GUACUGAUGAAGAGUCCCAAACUAGGACGAAACGGCUGUCCAGUAC
Non-coding RNA from Trichobilharzia regenti, 46 nucleotides. NCBI's taxonomy places the organism in Eukaryota, Metazoa, Platyhelminthes, Trematoda, Strigeidida, Schistosomatidae. The record is from Rfam.